GGGGCUGUAGUAUAGCUUGGUAGAAUUCUACCUUGGGGUGGUAGCGGCCCGUGUUCAAAUCACGGCAGCCCCA
This 73-nucleotide transfer RNA is filed under the name Candidatus Woesearchaeota archaeon. RNAcentral describes it as "tRNA-Pro". It matches the Rfam family "tRNA". Rfam says of the family: Transfer RNA (tRNA) molecules are approximately 80 nucleotides in length. Their secondary structure includes four short double-helical elements and three loops (D, anti-codon, and T loops). Further hydrogen bonds mediate the characteristic L-shaped molecular structure. tRNAs have two regions of fundamental functional importance: the anti-codon, which is responsible for specific mRNA codon recognition, and the 3' end, to which the tRNAs corresponding amino acid is attached (by aminoacyl-tRNA synthetases). tRNAs cope with the degeneracy of the genetic code in two manners: having more than one tRNA (with a specific anti-codon) for a particular amino acid; and 'wobble' base-pairing, i.e. permitting non-standard base-pairing at the 3rd anti-codon position. The record is from RNAcentral. Lineage: Archaea; Nanobdellati; Candidatus Woesearchaeota.